AUGACUGUUACGGUUCGGACGGGUUCCGGUCCGUCUGUAGAACGAGACCACUACAAUAAUAUUGUAUUAUUAUACUUUUAUUAUACUGCUGCCUGCUGGCGCUCUACCUCCGUCGUGUGCACGACACAUAUGUGCAGUGUGUCACCCCGACGAAACCACAACAAACAUCACGCAAAAUCAAAAAAAAAAAAACAUUUUAAGAGUUUCGCCCCUCGUCUCGUUUCCAAGAGAGACAAUGAAGAUUA
Molecule: non-coding RNA, 245 nt
Organism: Cinara cedri
Lineage: Eukaryota; Metazoa; Arthropoda; Insecta; Hemiptera; Aphididae
Source: the annotation of a GenBank genome assembly